Molecule: long non-coding RNA, 574 nt
Filed under: Homo sapiens (human)
Lineage: Eukaryota; Metazoa; Chordata; Mammalia; Primates; Hominidae
Description: HSALNT0395996
Source: RNAcentral
GCAUCCAAAUUUUUACCAAGGUCAGUUGUGAAACUCUUGCAGGAAUGAUGGGGAAUUGCGGGCUGGAUGCACCAAAGAUCCAAAUCAACAAAUCAACGGAUACUUGUCUCCCUGGAAUGUCGCUAGCGGAGUGUCACAGGCUUGAUCCUUGGCUUGUAAGAGUUUGUAAUGCAAACACAAAACACCUGGGUUGUCAGAGCUGUGACUAUUCAUGGGGCUGCCUGGGAAAGUGACUGUUUGGAUGACAUGAUGGAGGCUGUAAGAAAGUGAGGAAGAUUGGGCCACAUAUAAUAAUGUGAUAUUUAACAAGGACAAAUAUUGAAUCCAGAACUUUGGUUCAAAAAGCACAGGGUGAAAUCUCAGCACUCUGGGAAGCCAAAGCAGAAGGAUCGCUUGAGCCUAGGAGUCAAGACCCACCUGCGCAACAUAGCGAGACCCUAUCUCUUUUUGUUUUUUUUUUUUUUUGAGACAGAAUUUCCCUCUUGUUGCCCAGGCUAGAGUGCAGUGGCACAAUCUUGGCUCACUGCAACCUCUGCCUCCUGGGUUCAACCGAUUCCCCUGCCUCAGCCUCCAG